Microcebus murinus (gray mouse lemur) is the source of this 2023-nucleotide non-coding RNA. The record is from RefSeq and is a predicted model, not a curated record. Lineage: Eukaryota; Metazoa; Chordata; Mammalia; Primates; Cheirogaleidae.
ACCAGUUUAAUGCCAGAUAAUGUUGACUGUUAUGAAGAAAACUGGAUGGAUUAGAUCUUGCACUUUUUUCCUAGGAAUGAUUCCAAUCUCAGCAGGGAGUAAAGUAAAUGCUAGGCCAGUGGGGAGACUGGUGUCCUGUGAGGGCAACACGGGCGUGCCUGGGAGCUGUGCUAGGUAGGAAAACCAACCCUGCGCUGCAGCCAGAGAGAUGCCUCCCCUCUUGUCUUCCAUGGCAACAUCACCCUUUGCUCUCAGAUCUUGCACACCCAGCACCUGGGAAUCUCAGGAGGGAGCACAUCACCCUGGGUUUUGAGACUCCAUCUGCCAACCUUCUCCCUCUAAGUAAGUGUAGUCAAUGUCCUACAUGUGCUUGGAAUCUCCACAGCCCUGAUGACCAAUCGCCAUGUGAGGGUGUCUCCUAGCAACACUCAGGUCAUGUGUGAGCAGGUGUACAGGACCACCAGAUACCAAGAGGAAUGGGGCAGAAUGUACCAGGAGUUUGUGUGACAGUAAGACCAGACCAUGUGAGCACCCUCUGUGUUCCCAAGUACACUGGGAACAGAGGGUGUGAUGGUUAACGUUAUGCAUCAACUUGGCCAGAGUACCCAGAUAUUUGGUCAAACACUAGUCUAGAUGCUGCUGUAAAGGUAUUUUUUAGAUAAGAGUAAUAUUUAAAUCAGUAGUCUUUGAAUAAAGCUGAUUGCCUCCAUAACGUGGGUGCACCUCCUCCAAUGAAUUGGAUGAGCCUUAUGAGAAAAAACAGUGACUUCCCCGAGGAAGAGGGAAUUCUGCCUGCAAUCUGCCUUUCAGCUCGAGCCGCAACAUCAACUCCUCCCUGGGUCUCCAGCCUGCAGGCUACAGACAUAGCAGAGGAUGAACAAGGAUACCUAAGUCACAUCUGGAUAACUCCCAUCCAUCCUUCAGAUUUAGUUCCAACGUCGCCUCCAAGGGCCUCACAGAGAUCCUGACCUCUAGUGACAAGCAACCAAACAAGAUCACAACAUGAAUGCAAUGACUGCUCAAGGAAGGGACAUGCCUCAGUCAUCUCCGAAUGUAUCUAGUAUCUGACGGACUGCUAGGCUUUCAGAAAUUCUCUGUUUAUCUGGGUGACAUGAGGUUUCUCUGAGCCACUUCCUGCAAGUCAGAUGGAAGGAAACCUUACUUAUUGGGAGUGUCAUGACUCACGGGACAGAUUCAAAGUCUGCUUUCGGCCUAGAACUUCUGAAUGUGUCUCUCCAGGAAGCUCUGCCUCUUCACAGCUGACUGGGACGUCCUUAGGGUGUGUGAAUAAUAAGGACAUGUUUUAAAUAACGGGAACCAAUGUGUGCUUUAAGCCACAUGAAGGUGAACAGUGCGCUGACAGGACAUGGACCACAAUCCAGGCCAGGAAGGUGGUCAGGCCCUGGUGGGAACUGUUGGGACUGAGACCAAAUGACCACUCUGCCUUUGAGGUUCCAACUUCUCCAUUCUCCAGUGCACAUGGCGGAAAACAGCCACCCACGGCUCUGGAAUUGUCGGGACACAUGGCUUUGUACCUUGGCCUCUGUCUUCAGCAAGCACCCCGUCCUAGUUCCAAAUGCCUGGGGAAGGAACCUGACUGGCUGACUUGCGUCAGUGCCUCCCAUCCCUGCCUAAUCACCUGGCCAGAGACACAGGAUCACCCCACUAACUGGGGCUUAGGUAUGCUUAAGAAAGCUCACCGGGAGCUGAGCAGACCAUCAGGAGCGUUUAUCUCGACAAGGAUGGGAGAGAGAUCUCUCGAGCCCUCUGUGUAGACACAAGCUGCUCUUUGCUAGCAGGUGUGGGGGAUGACUGGGAUCCUCCUGUCUUGUCUUCCCCGUAAAUGGUUAUAAUUUAUCAUUCUAGAUGCCUUUUAAAACAGCACAGGAAAGAAAGGCCAACUGAGCAGACACAGAAUAUGGAAAAUGAAUUCUCUAUUCUGUAAACACAACCAACUUCAGUGUAAACAAGGAGAUAUGGCAUAACAUAAAUUGCUAUUAUCUUCAGCACAUGCUAUGCUUAA